Molecule: long non-coding RNA, 858 nt
Filed under: Phasianus colchicus (ring-necked pheasant)
Lineage: Eukaryota; Metazoa; Chordata; Aves; Galliformes; Phasianidae
Description: lncRNA (ENSPCLG00000018482.1)
Source: RNAcentral
UGAGGAGAUUCUUUUGCUUCAUUAACUUUUCCUCCAUUUACUUUCAACUUAGAAAAAUCAGAUCACCUGGCUUGCUUUGACCCUUGGGAAUACAACUGAAGUCUCACUUAAAGUCCUUAAAUUCUUUUUGUGGAACUUAGCCUUGACUUUUAAAAUGUCAUGGGACUGAGAGUCGACCUAAUAAUGCAUUGAUUCUGUCUGGCUUAGUUAUUGCAGCAGUAGUUGCAGUGCUGGAUCAGAAAUCAUGCUCCAGAAACUCUGCAGUGGUGGUUUUUCACUUCAAGGUGAUAUUACUGAGUUCAUGGUAGGGAAAAAAAGGUGAGAAAAAAUAUCAUCAUUCAUUUGAGUUAUUAUAUAAUCAAGUAUAUCUGACUACAUUAACACAACUGCAUUUUUGUCAGUGAAUGUGUAUCUGAGUUUGGAUGGCUUAACUCAGGCACUGCAGAAUUUAAAGGCAUUCUGGUAAUGAUUCUGGCAGAAAACUGUGUUUACACCAAAACAUUUGCUGUACAAGAACUAAAAUCUUGAAAAUGGUUUGUUCUAACAAGCCUUUUUGUCCUGCAGAGAUGUUUUGUCCUGAUUCAUUUUCCACCCAUUUUCUUACAGGAAGAGCAGCUGAUGCUGCAGCAGGAAAGAAUUUGGACACAAGAAGAACUACAACUGUGUUGCGUAAGAAAUGAAUAAGGCCAUCCUUCCUUCUUGGUGGUUACUGCAUCUGUGUUGUGUUUUUCUUUAAGGAACAACCAAAAAAAACCUCAACUGCUCCUACAACUGCAAGAAGAACCACCAGUUUCAGAACAGAGAAAAUUUUAAGACGAGUGUACUUAAAAAAAUAAUAAAUCAAUAUUGAACUGUGCA